This 253-nucleotide unclassified non-coding RNA is filed under the name uncultured Flavobacteriaceae bacterium. RNAcentral describes it as "contains 16S-23S intergenic spacer region". It matches the Rfam family "Bacterial small subunit ribosomal RNA", at positions 524 to 776 of the family's 1533-position model. Lineage: Bacteria; Pseudomonadati; Bacteroidota; Flavobacteriia; Flavobacteriales; Flavobacteriaceae. The record is from RNAcentral.
UACGGAGGAUCCAAGCGUUAUCCGGAAUCAUUGGGUUUAACGGGUCCGUAGGCGGGACAGUAAGUCAGUGGUGAAAGUCUGCAGCUCAACUGUAGAACUGCCAUUGCUACUGUUAACCUUGAGUAAUUAUGAAGUGGUUAUAAUAGGUAGUGUAGCGGUGAAAUGCAUAGAUAUUACAUAGAAUACCGAUUGCGAAGGCAGAUCACUAAUAAAAUUCUGACUCUGAUGGACGAAAGCGUAGGUAGCGAACAGG